CUACGGGGCGCUGCAGUGGGGAAUAUUGGACAAUGGGCGAAAGCCUGAUCCAGCAAUACCGCGUGAAUGAUGAAGGCCUUAGGGUUGUAAAGUUCUUUUAGUAGGGAAGAUAAUGACGGUACCUACAGAAAAAGCCCCGGCUAACUCCGUGCCAGCAGGCCGCGGUAAGACGGAGGGGGCUAGCGUUGUUCGGAAUUACUGGGCGUAAAGGGCGCGUAGGCGGAUUAGUAAGUUGGAAGUGAAAUCCCGAGGCUUAACCUCGGAACUGCUUUCAAAACUGUUAGUCUAGAGUGAAGUAGGGGAUGAUGGAAUUCCUAGUGUAGAGGUGAAAUUCUUAGAUAUUAGGAGGAACACCGGUGGCGAAGGCGGUCAUCUGGACUUCAACUGACGCUGAGGCGCGAAAGCGUGGGGAGCAAACAGGAUUAGAUACCCCUGUAGUC
This 440-nucleotide ribosomal RNA is filed under the name uncultured bacterium. RNAcentral describes it as "partial 16S ribosomal RNA". It matches the Rfam family "Bacterial small subunit ribosomal RNA", at positions 339 to 795 of the family's 1533-position model. The record is from RNAcentral.